CACCUCUCAGGGUUGCAUCUGCAGUGUUUCCAGUACUCUACCAGUCUCGACUCUAGGAGGGAGAGUCAAGCAGAAGCAUACCCAUUCCAUUCUUAGCUUGAGCAGUGGCUAACGAGUGGAAGGCAAUCUGCUACAAGU
Molecule: small nucleolar RNA, 138 nt
Organism: Tachyglossus aculeatus (Australian echidna)
Lineage: Eukaryota; Metazoa; Chordata; Mammalia; Monotremata; Tachyglossidae
Source: RefSeq, a predicted model, not a curated record